AAGAAAAAUACUAAUUUUUUCAAAGGCAUAUUAUUAAAAAAUAAACUUUAACUUUCUAAAAUCUGCAACACCUCUAGCUUUUACAAAAACCCCAGCCAUCCGAGAAUAAAACAUGGCCACAAGGAAUUUAAAAUCAACCACCUGUUAACUCUUCCAUAUGCACCACCGAAAGAAAAACUCCUAUGCUACGCGAGGUAGAAAAUUCCGAGCAGAUGCAGGUGAAUAUAAUAACAAAUCCACAAGCCUCUGUUGCAGUCACUGUCAUGUGCAAAAAUUUGUAUGUACCUCAUACGAAAUUUCCUUGUGAAAAUGCCCCUAGUCAUCGUUCAGAACUCUAUUCAAAUCUCAAAACCUAACAAAUUCGAAAUGAACAUCGCGGUGGGGGCAGUGGCGUGGUUCCUCCGGCAGGCCAGAUGACGCGCGAGCCACCGAUGUUGGUCUGAGAGGCUGCGAAAGAGAAAUUGGAGGAGCGGCAGAACGAUUGGGUCAUUUGGGUGUAUUCGAAGCCGUGGUGGUUCUCAACAUCGUGUGCAACUUUGCAUUUGUAAGGAUUUAUUAUUUUUUAAAGGAUUAAUUAAGUUUUUACUAGUCAAACGUUUUGAAUUUUUUAUCUUUAAAUUAUUAUUUUUUUUAAAAUUUAGUUUUUAAAGAAUUUAUUAUUAUUAAAAUUAAUUUUUAUUGUUAAUGUCCUCUUAUAAUAAAAUAUCAUGAAAUAAGAUAGAUUAAAUAUUAAGUGUAUAUUAAUGACAAAAAAUGUUUUAUUAUAUUUAGAUAAAUAAUUAAAAUAUUAUAUUAUUAAAAUAGAAAAAAAAAAAAGAAUCAUUAUUAAAAACUGACCCUCCAAACACGUAUGAACGUACGACAAUUACCUAUGGACAGAUUUACGGUGUGCCAUACAACAAUUCAUCUUCCUCAUGUGUGUACAAUAUAUGAUGAUAUUCAUAAGCAGCUCAACACGUAACAAAUUUUUUUAACAAUAGGAACUAUUUUUAGUAACAUAGGAACUAAUUUUUUUUAAAAAUAAUUUAGGAAUUAAAUAUUCAAAAUAUCAUAAUUUAAGGACUAAAAAUUUAAUUAACCAUUUUUUAAAUAAAAUAAAGAUUGUGGAGUUUUUUAAUUUUUAAUAUGUUAAAUUAAUUAUUUUAAAAUUUAAAAUACUAACAAAGUUAAAUGAAAAUAGGAAAAUAUAUUAAAAUGAAAAUUAAAAAAAAAUUAAAAUUUAAUGUAUCCAAAUAAAACAAAUAAAAUUUAAUAGAAAAAGAGAAAGAGAGAGUGAGAAAGAUAUUAUGAAAUCGAAAGGGGAUGGCACGCCAUUCUUUACAAUGGCCCUACAUAUUAGAGUGUCUUCUUUAGAUCUUUUUCUUUUGGAUUUUUUGGGGUCAUGAGAUCUAAGCUCGGGGGUUAUGUUGGUAUGAACUUUUGUUGUGUGAACUCCCACUUGUGUCCAUCUAUCAUUGAUCUUUAUAUUUGAACCAGUUAUGUUAGGGGAAUCCUAUCGAUUGGUUGGGGGGACAUGUUCACUGGCAUUUAGUGAUUUAAUACCUUCAAUUUUUCCAAUACAUAUAUUAAAUUUUUUAAUUAAAUAAAUUCACCCUAUUUAUUACUUUUCUUAUGAUAGUUGUCAACAAUAUGUUAUGUAUUAUCAACUACUAAGUAUUAUCAAUUAUUUUAAUAUUGACGAGAACUGAAGCAAUCGUUCAAUUCCAUUAAAAUAAUAAAUAAUAAUAUUAUUUGUAGCUCGUAUGUGAAUAUUAUUUAUGUUUAUAUAUUAAAUUAGAAAAAAAAUUCUAAGAGUAGUUGAAUCUUAGUUUAUUUUUCUUCAAAAGAGUAUGUGCGCUUUUUGUAAAUUCUAUUCUUUUAGAUUCUAAAUUUAAUUUUUAAUUAAUUAUAAGUAUAUACUUUAUAAUUUUAAAUAUUUAUUUUCUAGUUUUAAUUUACAGUUCAUAUUUAUUUAAAUUGAAAAAUCUAUAUAAUGCAUGUAAUUCAUGCUAGUAAAGCAUCAUUUAGUUAAUCUUUUGAAAAAAUGGAUUGUUUUUUUCUUUUGGCCCUGGGGUUGGGACUUGGGAAAUGUCAAAGGUUCAUAUAUGUCAUAGCCAAGCACUUCUUAUUUGCUCCUCCAAGUUUACUAAGUACAUCCUCUCCCUUCUUUUUAUAUUUUUUAAUUGCUCUAUACCCUUUCAUUUGUUAAAAUAUAGUUUCAGAAAUCACUUUCUAACAACAUAUAUCAAUUCUGGAAAAUUAUUUUUGGAGCUAUAUUUUAACAAAAACUACUUUAUAAGCGUUGUGUUUGUUACUUUUUAAAUCCUAUUUUUCAUCCUAUCUUUAUUAUUGUCUAAACUCUAAUUUUGAACUCCCAAUCUUCAUUUGUAUUUAUUAUUCUUUAAACCUUGUUAACAUAAUAUCAUGUUUUCCAUAAAAAUAUUUAUUCAUGACAUUGUGCAUUUUCCUCGACCUGACAUUGUGUUUCAAGGAAUGUCCAAUAUUGACUUCAUCUCUUAUAGUGUCCAUUGGAUUGGAAAUCUCAUAUAUUAGGUGUCAUUCUCUCAGUGUCUUUGUGUUUAGGUUGUCUUUGGAAUUUCAUUUGGUUUUUGCUUGUUUUGUUGCUUGAGGACAAGCAAAGUUCUAAAUUUUGGGUGUUGGCAGUUGCCAUAUAUUCCUACAUCCUGUAGUUCCAAUUAUGUGAUAUCUCUUAUACUUUUUAGCUUUCUUUAUGUUCUUUUUAGUAAACUUUUGAAUAAAAGCUUAGUUUAUUUAGGAAUUUUUAAUUUUUGCUACUUUUAAGCUUGAUCUUGAGUUGUUCGUUUGUGUUUUGUAGGAAAUUUGAGGAAGGACCGCUUAGAGAAGAGUUGAAAAGCAUUAGCACCAUUUUGGAAGAAAAAA
This 2880-nucleotide long non-coding RNA is filed under the name Glycine max (soybean). RNAcentral describes it as "long non-coding RNA (GMAX_LNC000058)". Lineage: Eukaryota; Viridiplantae; Streptophyta; Magnoliopsida; Fabales; Fabaceae. The record is from RNAcentral.